GGGGGUUCGACGGCCAGUGAUUAGAGUUUGAUCCUGGCUCAGGAUGAACGCUGGCGGCGUGCUUAACACAUGCAAGUCGAACGAAGCACUUUAUUACGAUUUCUUCGGAAUGACGAUUUAGUGACUUAGUGGCGGACGGGUGAGUAACGCGUGGGUAACCUGCCUUAUACAGGGGGAUAACGUUUGGAAACGAACGCUAAUACCGCAUAAGCGCACAGAGUCGCAUGACUCAGUGUGAAAAACUCCGGUGGUAUAAGAUGGACCCGCGUCUGAUUAGCUAGUUGGUGAGGUAGAGGCCCACCAAGGCGACGAUCAGUAGCCGGCCUGAGAGGGUGAACGGCCACAUUGGGACUGAGACACGGCCCAAACUCCUACGGGAGGCAGCAGUGGGGAAUAUUGCACAAUGGGGGAAACCCUGAUGCAGCGACGCCGCGUGAGUGAAGAAGUAUUUCGGUAUGUAAAGCUCUAUCAGCAGGGAAGAAAAUGACGGUACCUGACUAAGAAGCCCCGGCUAACUACGUGCCAGCAGCCGCGGUAAUACGUAGGGGGCAAGCGUUAUCCGGAUUUACUGGGUGUAAAGGGAGCGUAGACGGCAAGGCAAGUCUGAAGUGAAAGCCCGGGGCUCAACUCCGGGACUGCUUUGGAAACUGUUUAGCUAGAGUGCAGGAGGGGCGAGUGGAAUUCCUAGUGUAGCGGUGAAAUGCGUAGAUAUUAGGAGGAACACCGGUGGCGAAGGCGGCCCGCUGGACUGUAACUGACGUUGAGGCUCGAAAGCGUGGGGAGCAAACAGGAUUAGAUACCCCUGGUAGUCCACGCCGUAAACGAUGAAUACUAGUGUCGGGUAUUUAGAAUACUCGGUGCCGCAGCAAACGCAAUAAGUAUUCCACCUGGGGAGUACGUUCGCAAGAAUGAAACUCAAAGGAAUUGACGGGACCCGCACAAGCGGUGGAGCAUGUGGUUUAAUUCGAAGCAACGCGAGACCUUACCAGAUCUGACAUCCCGGAUGAAUUGAGGUAUGCCUCAGCUCUUCGAGCAUCCGAGACAGUGUGCAUGUGUCGUCAGCUCGUGUCGUGAGAUGUUGGUAAGUCCGCAACGAGCGCACCCCUAUUCCAGUAGCCAGCAGUAGAUGGCACUCUGGAAGACUGCCAGGAUUACCGGAGGAGCGGAUGACUUCAAUCAAUCAUGCCCUCAUGACUUGGGGCGUGAACACACGUGCGUCUAUCAAUGUGGCGCGUUGUUA
RNAcentral lists this ribosomal RNA (1240 nucleotides) under uncultured bacterium. Its description in RNAcentral is "partial 16S ribosomal RNA". It matches the Rfam family "Bacterial small subunit ribosomal RNA", at positions 1 to 1257 of the family's 1533-position model. The record is from RNAcentral.